AUACGAGGGGUGCAAGCGUUAAUCGGAAUUACUGGGCGUAAAGCGUUCGUAGGCGGUUUGUUAAGCAAGAUGUGAAAGCCCUGGGCUCAACCUGGGAACUGCAUUUUGAACUGGCAAGCUAGAAUACUGUAGAGGGUGGUGGAAUUUCCAGUGUAGCGGUGAAAUGCGUAGAGAUUGGAAGGAACAUCAGUGGCGAAGGCGGCCACCUGGACAGAUAUUGACGCUGAGGAACGAAAGCGUGGGGAGCGAACAGGAUUAGAUACCCCAGUAGUCC
Molecule: ribosomal RNA, 274 nt
Filed under: uncultured bacterium
Lineage: Bacteria
Description: partial 16S ribosomal RNA
Rfam family: Bacterial small subunit ribosomal RNA
Source: RNAcentral